AUAUAAUAUAUAUAUAUAUACUAAAAUUGGAAUAAUACAGAGAAGAUUAGCAUGGCUGCUGCACAAGGAUGACCCGCAAAUCUGUGAAGCGUUCCAUAUUUUC
This is a small nuclear RNA of Eptesicus fuscus (big brown bat), 103 nucleotides long. Lineage: Eukaryota; Metazoa; Chordata; Mammalia; Chiroptera; Vespertilionidae. The record is from RefSeq and is a predicted model, not a curated record.